Molecule: ribosomal RNA, 160 nt
Filed under: uncultured Russula
Lineage: Eukaryota; Fungi; Basidiomycota; Agaricomycetes; Russulales; Russulaceae
Description: partial 28S ribosomal RNA
Rfam family: Eukaryotic large subunit ribosomal RNA
Source: RNAcentral
UUGACCUCAAAUCGGGUGAGACUACCCGCUGAACUUAAGCAUAUCAAUAAGCGGAGGAAAAGAAACUAACAAGGAUUCCCCUAGUAACUGCGAGUGAAGCGGGAAAAGCUCAAAUUUAAAAUCUGGUGGUCUUUGGCCAUCCGAGUUGUAAUUUAGGAAG